This 1444-nucleotide ribosomal RNA is filed under the name Salmonella enterica subsp. enterica serovar Lille. RNAcentral describes it as "partial 23S ribosomal RNA". It matches the Rfam family "Bacterial large subunit ribosomal RNA", at positions 161 to 1547 of the family's 2925-position model. The record is from RNAcentral. Lineage: Bacteria; Pseudomonadati; Pseudomonadota; Gammaproteobacteria; Enterobacterales; Enterobacteriaceae.
AAUCCAUAGGUUAAUGAGGCGAACCGGGGGAACUGAAACAUCUAAGUACCCCGAGGAAAAGAAAUCAACCGAGAUUCCCCCAGUAGCGGCGAGCGAACGGGGAGGAGCCCAGAGCCUGAAUCAGCAUGUGUGUUAGUGGAAGCGUCUGGAAAGGCGCGCGAUACAGGGUGACAGCCCCGUACACAAAAGCGCAUGUGCUGUGAGCUCGAUGAGUAGGGCGGGACACGUGGUAUCCUGUCUGAAUAUGGGGGGACCAUCCUCCAAGGCUAAAUACUCCUGACUGACCGAUAGUGAACCAGUACCGUGAGGGAAAGGCGAAAAGAACCCCGGCGAGGGGAGUGAAAAAGAACCUGAAACCGUGUACGUACAAGCAGUGGGAGCCCCACCACUAAGCCAGUGGUGAACUCCACAUACGCAUCCUUUGCUGAGGAUACGGUUAACGGAGCGAAAGCGACGUUCAACCGCAAAAGAAGCAGAGGGGGCUUAGUGGUGGGGUGACUGCGUACCUUUUGUAUAAUGGGUCAGCGACUUAUAUUCUGUAGCAAGGUUAACCGUAUAGGGGAGCCGCAGGGAAACCGAGUCUUAAUUGGGCGUUAAGUUGCAGGGUAUAGACCCGAAACCCGGUGAUCUAGCCAUGGGCAGGUUGAAGGUUGGGUAACACUAACUGGAGGACCGAACCGACUAAUGUUGAAAAAUUAGCGGAUGACCUGUGGCUGGGGGUGAAAGGCCAAUCAAACCGGGAGAUAGCUGGUUCUCCCCGAAAGCUAUUUAGGUAGCGCCUCGUGAAUUCAUCUCCGGGGGUAGAGCACUGUUUCGGCUAGGGGGCCAUCCCGGCUUACCAACCCGAUGCAAACUGCGAAUACCGGAGAAUGUUAUCACGGGAGACACACGGCGGGUGCUAACGUCCGUCGUGAAGAGGGAAACAACCCAGACCGCCAGCUAAGGUCCCAAAGUCAUGGUUAAGUGGGAAACGAUGUGGGAAGGCCCAGACAGCCAGGAUGUUGGCUUAGAAGCAGCCAUCAUUUAAAGAAAGCGUAAUAGCUCACUGGUCGAGUCGGCCUGCGCGGAAGAUGUAACGGGGCUAAACCAUGCACCGAAGCUGCGGCAGCGACACUGUGUGUUGUUGGGUAGGGGAGCGUUCUGUAAGCCUGCGAAGGUGGCCUGUGAGGGUUGCUGGAGGUAUCAGAAGUGCGAAUGCUGACAUAAGUAACGAUAAAGCGGGUGAAAAGCCCGCUCGCCGGAAGACCAAGGGUUCCUGUCCAACGUUAAUCGGGGCAGGGUGAGUCGACCCCUAAGGCGAGGCCGAAAGGCGUAGUCGAUGGGAAACGGGUUAAUAUUCCCGUACUUGGUGUUACUGCGAAGGGGGGACGGAGAAGGCUAUGUUGGCCGGGCGACGGUUGUCCCGGUUUAAGCGUGUAGGUGUGUGUUCCAGGUAAAUCCGGUU